GUCUACAGCCAUACCACCCUGAACGCGCCUGAACUCAUGAUCUCGGAAGCUAAGCAGGGUCAGGCCUGGUUAGUACUUGGAUGGGAGAAAACUUUAAAUGUUUUAUAUC
RNAcentral lists this ribosomal RNA (109 nucleotides) under Neogale vison (American mink). The record is from RNAcentral. Lineage: Eukaryota; Metazoa; Chordata; Mammalia; Carnivora; Mustelidae.